GGAAGUAAUAUAUCAGUAUCUGCAAAUUCCGGACACGUUCUAAUGAAGCCAAAGGGGAUAAAGAUUAAAAUAUCUCACUGUUGUUAUCUCUUUGAUGAUGGAUCCCUCUCGUCGAUGAAUGAAGUUUUUGGUUCGUGUAGAAGAUUUUGUGGGAAAUGGAUCCCACAAAACCAAGUUUUAUGAUUUAACAAGUUUGGUGGAAUUAUUUUUUGGCGUUGGACAUAUAAAUAUAAGACACAGAAGAGACGCAAGAGAGCUACACCCACUCGCAGUUUUUUACUCGUAAUAUCUUGUGGGAAAUGGAUCCAAAGACAUGAGAAGUUGACCCUAGUAAUGGCUGGGAAUGCAAGAUUUGAAUUGACCUCGGCCAGUCCCGGACUCUGGUUUUGCUGGUAACUUCCAAAAUGGGCAAAGGGGUUAUUCUGCCUCCUCUUUGGAUAGGUCGACGACAAGUUUCAGAGAUGAAAUCGAGGGAAGAAACUUUUCUUCUGGGAAGGCGAAUUCUAGAGGGAGUGCUACAAACAUCUUCAGGAGAUGCAACUACAUUAUCUCAAUGUCUGAUGUUGGAUCCAUUUGUUAUUGAUAAAAAAACAUGCACAAUUUAGUGAUAUAAGGAGUGUUCUCGGAUAUUGUUUGCAGUAGUUCAGAAGAUAAACCCUUUUGGUACCGCUCA
Molecule: long non-coding RNA, 673 nt
Organism: Salvia hispanica
Lineage: Eukaryota; Viridiplantae; Streptophyta; Magnoliopsida; Lamiales; Lamiaceae
Source: RefSeq, a predicted model, not a curated record